CUACGGGACGCAGCAGCCGCGAAAACUUUACAAUGCACGUAAGUGUGAUAAGGGAAUCCCAAGUGCUUACCUUCUGGGUAGGCUUUUGUUAAGUGUAAAUAUCUUAACGAAUAAGUGGUGGGUAAGACCGGUGCCAGCCGCCGCGGUAACACCGGCGCCACGAGUGGCGAUCACUAUUAUUGGGUCUAAAGCGUCCGUAGCUGAUUUAUUAAAUCUUUUGUGAAAUUGUUAAGCUUAACUUCACAUCGUGCAAAAGACACUAGUAGGUUUGAGACCGGGAGGAGAUGAAAGAAUUCUUUGGGAAGUGGUAAAAUAUUAUAAUCCAAGGAAGACUACCAGUGGUGAAGACGUUCAUCUAGAACGGGUCUGACGGUGAGGGACGAAGGCCAGGGGAGCAAAUGGGAUUAGAUACCCUCGUAGUC
RNAcentral lists this ribosomal RNA (422 nucleotides) under uncultured archaeon. Its description in RNAcentral is "partial 16S ribosomal RNA". It matches the Rfam family "Archaeal small subunit ribosomal RNA", at positions 323 to 746 of the family's 1478-position model. The record is from RNAcentral.